CAAGGCUCAAGGCAAUAGCUGUAAUAGAAAAGCCACAAACGGUAACAUGAAAAGACAGGACAGCAAAAGAAACAGGGAAACAACUGUCAAAGCAAGUAAUAAAUGAACUCCUAGAAACUACCAAUCUAAAAGAAAAGCAGAAAGAAAAGAAACGUCUUGAGCCAAACCUAUCCAAAUUCAAAAUAUCAGCCAAACCUCUUUCCAAAAUUAGAAGAAAAGAAAUCGGACCCAAGGAAAGGAGAAGGAAAAAGCUUUGAACACGAACAAUGGAGACUCAUCGAACCUUCUCCAAUUUCAAAGCAAACAAGAGGAACCUUAGAGGUACUGGAUGCAAGCCAAGAGGUAUUCCAUUGCUAUCUUCUUCACUGAAUCAGGCACGCCAUUAACCCAACCACCGCAAAUCUGCCUUCUCCAGCCUUCCAACGCAAGAGUAUGAACUGCUGCUCUGUUAACCAUUCUGGGUACAAAAAGACAAGGAGUCACCUUCCACAACCAGGCACUGAAAGCCCAUCUCAGUCGCAAAGAUUAGUGGUCUUUCACAAGCCCGUGCUUCUACUGCAAAGGCGUCAGCAACUUCUUCGAUGAGAUAAGUUUCUGCUCCUACGAUUUCUCCUAUAGGAUCUCUGGCUAAAACUGCUGUUGUAGCGAUUUUGUCUUCUUUUUGAAAAGCCGCAUCAAAGUUUAUCUUGAUAACUCCAUCAUCUGGGGGUCUCCACGAUCCUUCACCAUAACUUUAAGAGAAGGACAGAGAUUUUCUUGAUUAAGACUGAGCUCUUGUUCAUAACCUCGAAUAAACCCUAUAAACUUUUGUAAAGAAAAUUUGACCCCUUCAUGUAUUAGUUUGUUUCUGCGAUACCAUAACCCCCAAAUGGAAAUAGAAAUGAUACGUUUUUGUUGCUCAUUUGCUGUAGAAAACGUUCUAGCAAAUCGACUCUUACAACACAACAAAGUUUCCAAUGUGGAAUCUUUACUGAGGGCAAGCGACUUCCACAUUCAACGUUCGGUGCGCCAGACUACCAAAGCAGCCAAGGGUCAUUCCAAUUAUUGAUGUGAGCACCACUGCCAACCCUCCACACAAUCCCUUCCGCAAUCAACUCUCAAGCGCUGCAAAUACUUCUCUAGGUAAAAGAAGGAUCUGGAUAGACCAAAUUCAGAGUUAGAUCGAGGAAAAGAAAAAAUAUCAAAUUAGUAGAUUUUACGUACACGAACACUUGUCGAGUAAUUCGGAGGCUCGAAUUGGUUGGAAGCUAGUCGAAGCAUCAUCACACUAUCCUUCGACUCAUUUCAGUAUAAAUAUUAAAUUACUUUUGGUUAUAAUGGCAUGUAUAGGCUAAAUUUUGCCAAUGAUGGCAUGUAUAUAUGUAUGUGUUUGGUUAAAAACUAGCCAUUGGUAUGGCUUGUAAAUGGUAUGUUUUGAUAUGUAAAAAUGGUCUUAAUAUGUUUGAUGUGUAUUUGAAAUGGAUGAAUGUAGAAAAUCA
This is a long non-coding RNA of Gossypium arboreum, 1478 nucleotides long. RefSeq lists it as uncharacterized. The transcript has 6 exons. The record is from RefSeq and is a predicted model, not a curated record. Lineage: Eukaryota; Viridiplantae; Streptophyta; Magnoliopsida; Malvales; Malvaceae.